AAGCUCGUCAUGAGAGCGAUGUCUGCGGUCAGGACCCGCGGCGGCCCGGCGGCCGGAGCGUCCCCGGCAUCAGCUGGCCACCAGCUAGGCGCCGUGAAUAAGUCGCGCUUUCUUCCUCGAACUUGGCGAACAUGGAGGGAGCUGAUCCCCAGAGAGGAGGACGUGGGGAGCCCCGGGGAGGAGACGGUGGAGGACCUGCUGGGCCUGGUCUGCAGCCCCCACUCGCCCUGGGCUCUGCUGGAGGGUUCCAGUGCAGAGGAUCGUUUUCUGAGACAACUGGCCAUCCAGAAUCCCCUGAUGCUCAAAGACACCUUCUUCUAUUCCUAUUUCAGGUCCCUGCAUGUGGUGGACAAGGAGGUGAGACUGGUGGAUAAGGACCUCCUGAAAUUCCGGAACCUCGAGGAGUUGGUACUGAGCGCCAAUCAGAUCCAGAAGGUUGACGCCGUCAAUCUGCCCCCGACUCUCAAGGUGCUGGAGCUGUACGGCAACAGCGUGGCCAGCAUGGCCUGCCUGUGCGCGCACCCCCCACCAGGCCUCCAGCACUUGGGGUUGGGCCACAACAAACUGCUGGGCCCCUUGCAGAGCCACUACGUCACCAGGGAACACUGGCCCCACCUCGUGUCGCUGGACUUGGGCUUCAACGACCUGACAGACCUGCAGGGCAUGGUGGGCAGCCUCAGCUCCCUGAGGCACCUGAGGCUGCUGGUGCUGCAGGGCAACCCGCUGGCCCUCGUGCCGUAUUACCGCGGCCUCACCGUCGACAGCCUGGCCCGGCUCUGCGUGCUGGAUGACAUCACCGUGUCCCCCAGCGAGAAGCAUCAGUUCCGGGGCAUCAGCCACAGCGGGGACUUCCUGCCACGCGAGGCACAGCUCCUGGUGACGAUCGGCAAUGUCAGAGGGGUUCUGGACAGCUCCAUCCUGGACCCGGAACCAGGGCCCCAAGGCCCCUUCAUCACGUACACCUAUUACGUGACCUACGACUUCGUGGAGGAUGAAGAAGGCGAAGGAAGUGAACUGGUCGGUGUGCUGGCCGAGGUGGCUGAGAUCGUCAAGCCCUCUCCCAGCGUGGAGCAGCUAGAGGCAGUCCCUGCAGAGGACAUCCCUGGCGAGCACGUCCCCGAAGAGGCCGAGGACGUUGCGGAGUCUGUUCCGACGACAGCGUCCCAGUCGGGCGAGCUGGAGUCCGUAGUCUCGGGCGGCUCGGUGGCCCUGCCCAGGUCCACAGACUCCGCAGAGGAGCUGGCCAAGCUGCGGCCCCGGAUCGACCCCCGGCUCUGCCCAUCCCCAGGCGCCCCACGGCCUCGUCCCUGGUCCUGGACGAUGACACCCCGUUUUCAUCUCCCCUCCCAGGACGGUCCUCUUCAGCACCGUCCGCAAGCCCUGGGCCAACGUCAUCCCCUGCAACUACGAGAUGCAGCACACGCUCAGGGACCUGGUGCCUCUCAAGGCCUUCCUGCUGGCGGGGACCACCGUGACCAUCGUGGAGGAGAAGAUCCUGUCCUGGCCUCUGGUGGCCCCUCCCGUCGACGUCCCCCUGCCUGCCAAGAAAGGGAAAGGGGAAAAGGACAAGAAGGAGGAGAAGAGCAGGACGGGGAAGGACGCGAAAGACAAGGCAGCGAAAGGCGAGACGGAGGCACCCAAGGGCUCCAAAAAGAAGAAAGACCUGCCCAAGGAGCUGCGCCAGGACCCGCCCGUCCUGCGGGUGCUGGGCAGGGGCAUGGUGGGCCUGGAGCCCCUGCUGAUGGGGGAGCCGCUCGUGUCCACUGUCUGCAACUUUGGGGUGAUCCGCACCGCGGAAUCCGACAAGCUGACGUUUCUCAGGGAUUCAAAGAAUAAGAAAGCUAAGAAAGGUAAGAGGCAGCGAUGGUGACCGAGGGCAAGGAGCGUGUGCCGAGGACCUGUCUUUGUCCGCCGGGGCUGCUGGGACAGAGCGCCACAGACUGGGCGGCUCGUGAACAACAGACCCUUGUUUCUCGCAGCUGUGGAGCCGAAGAAGUCCAAGACCAAGAUGCCGGCACUGUCAGUUGCCACAAGAGGAGCCUGGACUUGUUCUGUGGGCAGCGGGCAGCCCCCGAAGUGUCUGAAAUAGGUAAGUUUUAGAUUUGAGUUUGCGAAACGGUCUGGCUUGGAGGGAGAGGCAGCAGACGGGGGGCCAGUGGGGAACGCUGCGAGGCACACGGCAAGGUCAGAGCGGCGCUGCUCACAACGGCCGAGAAAUGGACCGAUCCCAGAUGCCACCCAUGGAUGGACGCAUAACCGGAACGUGCCGUGGCCACACAACGGGAUGCUGUUCAGCCACGAAAAGGAGUGAAGGGCUGACACAUGCUACACCGUGGAUGAACCUUGAGAACGUUAAGCUAAGGGAAAGAAGCCAGACACAGAAGGCCAUACGUGAAUCCAUGGAUAGGACGUGUCCAGAACAGACAAACCGCACAAACAGAAAGAUUAGUGGCGGUGUAAGGGCUGGGGGAAGAGGGACUGGGGAGUGACAGCUAGUGGUGUGGGCUUCCAUUUGGGGUGAUAGAAACGUUCUGGAACUAGACAGCCACGAUGACUGCACAACCUGUGAAUAUGCGAAACACCGCCGAACUGUCCGUUUAAAAAUGGUUAAAAUGUUUCAUUUUAUGAGGAUUUUAUCUUAAUGAAAAAAAGUCACUCAAAAAAGUAUAAGGCAAGUAUACAACAUACACGUAUCAGAAGAUUGAAUAUUGUUAAGAUGUCAACUUUUCUCAAACCGAUCUAUAGAUUUAACACAAUCUCAGUCAUAAUCCUAGAGGGAUUUUUUUUGGGGGGUUGAAAUCAGCGAGCUGAUUCUAAAAUGCACAUGGAAAUGCUAAAGACCUACAACAACCAAAACAAUUUCG
Molecule: RNA transcript, 2864 nt
Organism: Pteropus alecto (black flying fox)
Lineage: Eukaryota; Metazoa; Chordata; Mammalia; Chiroptera; Pteropodidae
Gene: LRRC43
Gene name: leucine rich repeat containing 43
Exons: 12
Source: RefSeq, a predicted model, not a curated record